CCUACGGGAGACAGCAGUAGGGAAUAUUGCUCAAUGGGGGAAACCCUGAAGCAGCAACGCCGCGUGGGUGAAGAAGUAUCUCGGUAUGUAAAGCUCUAUCAGCAGGGAAGAACAUGACGGUACCUGACUAAGACGCCCCGGCUAACUACGUUCCAGCAGCCGCGGUAAUACGUAGGGGGCAAGCGUGAGCCGGAUUUACUGGGUGUAAAGGGAGCGUAGACGGCGCUGCAAGUCCGGAGUGAAAGCCCAUGGCUUAACCAUGGUACUGCUCUUGAAACUGUGGAGCUUGAGUGCGGGAGGGGCAGGCGGAAUUCCUAGUGUAGCGGUGAAAUGCGUAGAUAUUAGGAGGAACACCGGCGGCGAAGGCGGCCUGCUGGACCGUAACUGACGUUGAGGCUCGAAAGCGUGGGGAGCAAACAGGAUUAGAGACCCUGGUAGUC
Molecule: ribosomal RNA, 440 nt
Filed under: uncultured bacterium
Lineage: Bacteria
Description: partial 16S ribosomal RNA
Rfam family: Bacterial small subunit ribosomal RNA
Source: RNAcentral